This 826-nucleotide ribosomal RNA is filed under the name uncultured archaeon. Its description in RNAcentral is "bacterial SSU rRNA". It matches the Rfam family "Archaeal small subunit ribosomal RNA", at positions 52 to 884 of the family's 1478-position model. The record is from RNAcentral.
UGCGAGUCAUUGUAGCAAUACAAGGCAGACGGCUCAGUAACGCGUAGUCAAUCUACCCUAUGGACGGGAAUAACCUCGGGAAACUGAGAAUAAUGCCCGACAGAACAUUAUACCUGGAACGGUUUAUGUUUCAAAUGAUUUAUCGCCGUAGGAUGGGACUGCGGCCUAUCAGUUYGUUGGUGAGGUAAUGGCCCACCAAGACUAUUACAGGUACGGGCUCUGAGAGGAGUAGCCCGGAGAUGGGUACUGAGACACGGACCCAGGCCCUAUGGGGCGCAGCAGGCGAGAAAACUUUGCAAUGUGCGAAAGCACGACAAGGUUAAUCCGAGUGGUUYCUGCUAAAGAAACCUUUUGCUAGUCCUAGAAACACUAGUGAAUAAGGGGUGGGCAAGUUCUGGUGUCAGCCGCCGCGGUAAAACCAGCACCUCAAGUGGUCAGGAUGAUUAUUGGGCCUAAAGCAUCCGUAGCUCGUUUUGUAAGUUUUCGGUUAAAUCCAUACGCUUAACGUAUGGGCUGCCGGGAAUACUGCAUAACUAGGAAGUGGGAGAGGUAGACGGUACUCGGUAGGAAGGGGUAAAAUCCUUUGAUCUAUUGAUGACCACCUGUGGCGAAGGCGGUCUACCAGAACACGUUCGACGGUGAGGGAUGAAAGCUGGGGGAGCAAACCGGAUUAGAUACCCGGGUAGUCCCAGCUGUAAACUAUGCAAACUCAGUGAUGCAUUGGCUUGUGGCCAAUGCAGUGCUGCAGGGAAGCCGUUAAGUUUGCCGCCUGGGAAGUACGUACGCAAGUAUGAAACUUAAAGGAAUUGGCGGGGGAGCACCACAA